This 460-nucleotide ribosomal RNA is filed under the name uncultured bacterium. RNAcentral describes it as "partial 16S ribosomal RNA". It matches the Rfam family "Bacterial small subunit ribosomal RNA", at positions 338 to 795 of the family's 1533-position model. The record is from RNAcentral.
CCUACGGGAGGCAGCAGUGAGGAAUAUUGGUCAAUGGACGAGAGUCUGAACCAGCCAAGUAGCGUGAAGGAUGACUGCCCUAUGGGUUGUAAACUUCUUUUAUGUGGGAAUAAAAUGUUCCACGUGUGGGAUUUUGUAUGUACCAUAUGAAUAAGGAUCGGCUAACUCCGUGCCAGCAGCCGCGGUAAUACGGAGGGUCCGAGCGUUAUCCGGAUUUAUUGGGUUUAAAGGGAGCGUAGGUGGAUUGUUAAGUCAGUUGUGAAAGUUUGCGGCUCAACCGUAAAAUUGCAGUUGAAACUGGCAGGCUUGAGUGCAGUAGAGGUGGGCGGAAUUCGUGGUGUAGCGGUGAAAUGCUUAGAUAUCACGAAGAACUCCGAUUGCGAAGGCAGCUCACUGGACUGCAACUGACACUGAGGCUCGAAAGUGUGGGUAUCAAACAGGAUUAGAUACCCUAGUAGUC